AAGUACAAGAAUGUGAAAGAGAAAGCUGUUCAGAGAGUGAUGUCAGGGUGCCUCCAAUACUACUAACAAUCCCUCGGGCCGUCAACCUGGUCAGCAGGGUUGAACAAAAACACCAAGAAACUCGCCCUCUGGCACCCGCAAAACACUCAGGAGAGCUACUCCCAUAGGCUGCAAGCUCCAGGAACCACCUCACCCCUCCUCUCACACAGGAAGCUCACUGACUUAGCCCUGAACCCAGGGAGCCGCAGAGCCCACGAGCUCCUCGGCCCGGCCGGUUGCAGCAGCGGUGUGGGGUGGGGCGGCCAGGCGGCGCCUCGCUGCAGCGGACGGAGGUCAUCACAGGCCGGGCAGAGAGGCAAGGAGCCCGCUCGGCCCAGA
Long non-coding RNA from Hipposideros armiger (great roundleaf bat), 378 nucleotides. RefSeq lists it as uncharacterized. The record is from RefSeq and is a predicted model, not a curated record. The transcript has 3 exons. NCBI's taxonomy places the organism in Eukaryota, Metazoa, Chordata, Mammalia, Chiroptera, Hipposideridae.